CAAAAAAUAGCUAUAGUUUGUAAUUCCAACAAAAAGCAUCGUAUUUUUGCUAUUUGUUUUCUCUCUAUUUUUAGAAAUACCUUUUUAGGUUAUGUAUUUUUUAAGAAAUACUUUUUUAGCUACCAAUGUGGAAUUACACCUAUGAUUCUUCUUUGGUUGUGUUGAAGAACUCCCAAGUGAUGUUUGUUUAUGUUUUCUGAGUAUACGUGUUAAGCUAAUAUAGUUUACAAUUUGAUAAAAAUAAUAGGUCUAAAAGUGAGCAUAUCACCUUAAUCCUUGCGUAGAAAAUUUAUUCGAGACUGCAAUACGAACAUCGUUUUUUUUUUUUUUUUUUUUUUUUUUUUUUUUUUUUUUUUGUAACAUUUUACUUGGCCUGGAGGUCUUCCUAUGGAAAGUAAAUCCGUCCGAGCACGUGGUUGUAUCUUAUGCACAUUUUUAAGAAUUACUUUUAAGUUUACUAGAUUUUCUUCUGAUCCUUUACGAUUUUUAACAACAUCAGGGAAAAGUAAUUCAUCAGGAGUACUGAGUUUAUUAGAACAUUUCAAUACAUUAUUAGUAUUCUUAUUACUAUCAUUAGGCAUUUUACCUAAAACACCACUUUCCUUAACCUCAGAAUUUACAAUGACAGAAUCGGCAUUAGAACUAUUACGUGCCCUAAAGUUUUCGGUCUUACCUAAUAAGUUCUUGCAUUUGGAUAACAUUACCUUAAUUAGAGUUUCAUCGAAGAGUCUUUGAGACAUAGUAUCCAAAUUACGAUUUUGCGUAAUAGCUAAUACACAAAUAUUACGAAGUUUUUCACCGAAAUCUAUAUUGCUUUUUGAAAAUCCAGUAGCAGAGCGUUGAAUGGCACAGUAAAAUCCACAGCGUUGAAUACCUUUACCCAUGCCCGAAGUUCCCUUUCUAGACCACCACAAUGAUCGUCACUAUCCGAAACUAAAUCAUACACAUCUUGUGUUUCGAUAAUUUAUAUCACAGAAUACCAGAAUACAUCAGCGUCUAAAGCAAUUUCGCUAAAGUAGACGAGUCUAAGGGCUCUAGUCUAGACAUCAUCGAGAGGGAAGAAUGAGUCGUUUUUUGCGAACAACUCGACAAAGAACAAGUCUCAUUCAAUCAUUACCAAAACAUAGAACUGUCAGAUAGAUAGUCAAUAGUUCAGAUGGAUCAUCGCGACAUGUAACAGAAGACCACGCCUACAAUCUGAUGUCAUCGAGAACUAAUUUAAUUGGCUAGCUACAUGAGGGUACAGGGCGGAGUCUAGCUUCUCGUCUUCUAAUGUAACCUCUUUGCGUUCGCCAAAGUCGACAACUGCAUUGCUAUUUAACUUUAGAGGAAUGGCAACAAUUAUUUAUAACUUAAAAGCGCUUAAAUUAAACUUGUACCUGAAAGUGUAGCUGAGUUUAUUUUUUAACUGCUACUGAAAAUUCCGUUCUCAUAAGCACUUUAAGUGAAUAAAAUAUUUUAAGAUAAUAUUAGUGUUAUUAAAACCUUUGGCUAUAAGUAGGUUAAUAUUUUACUUUGAUAAUCCUGUUCUUCUUACAUUUUUCCUUAUAACAUAACUAUGUCAUAGCAAAGUACGAAUCAGAGCCGUAGCUAGGGUUUUCAGCGCCCAGGGACAACUGAAGAUUUCGCGCCCCCUACUGCUUGCCAAGGAUGGAAAACAUUUAAUUUUAAAAUGUCCUAACAUCAGUUUGGCGCCCCUUGGAUUCUGCACCCGGGGACCUCUAGCUACGCCCUUGGCACUGGCUAUCUUAAUAUCUGAGCAACAGAACAAUUUAAAAAAAUUAUUUAAAUACCCUCUGCAUAGACUUAAAGAUGUCUGACAGAAUUAAAGUUGCUGUACGAAUGAGACCUCUAAUUGACAGGGAGGUAGAAGAAAAUGCGUUAGUCCAGUGGCAAGCCAAAGAUUCUAAGGUUGUUUAUCAGAUAACUUCUCCUUCAGUAAAAUUUCGAUAUGGUAAGUAU
Molecule: long non-coding RNA, 1962 nt
Filed under: Stegodyphus dumicola
Lineage: Eukaryota; Metazoa; Arthropoda; Arachnida; Araneae; Eresidae
Description: uncharacterized LOC118191557
Source: RNAcentral